RNAcentral lists this long non-coding RNA (729 nucleotides) under Homo sapiens (human). Its description in RNAcentral is "HSALNT0345572". Lineage: Eukaryota; Metazoa; Chordata; Mammalia; Primates; Hominidae. The record is from RNAcentral.
AAGAGGACACCUAAACUAAAGACUUUGAGGAGAAGUUUAUUAUUUAUUUGUACUACUUACCAGGCAAAGAGGGGGGUUAGGCAAAGUGGUAAGAAGUUAUAGUUUAGUACCAGCAGGCUAGAAAUGCCUAGCCACCCUUACCCUGAAGGGACAAGGUGGGGAAGCAGUUACCAGCACCUGGACAGUGACUGACUGACAGAGGGUUGCAGCCAACCCAAAUGGACCUGGCACACGGAGCCAAGAGACUUAUGCCUACUCUUUUGACCCCAUUCGCCUCCUGCCCUGCAGUUUCCUGCCAGAACGCCCCAUUGGCCAAAUCCAACCGGAAGUUAGAAUGGAAGGGAGACCAUGGACCCAUUUUCUCCAGACCUGCUUCCAGCGAAGGCACAGAGGAGUUGGGACGCACCUGGAGCAGCACACAGGGAGAUACUUAGUGCAAUCUCAAACGUUGCUAGAGGCAAAAGCGGCUGCGUCAAUGAUUGUAGUGCUAAUUGUUACAGACAUGACCACAAUGCCAAGGCGAAUGGGGACAAUGAAAUCCAUGGCUGGUUUUAAGGGCAGGUGCAGAGGAUCCAGCAUGUUAUUCUGAAACCCCAGAAGACGCUGCAGCUACCAAAUAGAAGGAGCCUGGAUCCCUGAAUGUCUUCAUGGAACAGAACAUUCUCCUCACUCCAGUCUGUUUGAACCAGAAUAUGACCUGAGCAAGAAAUAAGCCUUAAUUAUAUUUGA